This 1383-nucleotide ribosomal RNA is filed under the name uncultured bacterium. RNAcentral describes it as "16S ribosomal RNA". It matches the Rfam family "Bacterial small subunit ribosomal RNA", at positions 76 to 1435 of the family's 1533-position model. The record is from RNAcentral.
GCUUGCUUGCUUUGACGACGACCGGCGCACGGGUGAGUAACGCGUAUCCAACCUGCCCCUUACUACGGGACAGCCCGGCGAAAGUCGGAUUAAUACCGUAUGUGGUGUGAAGAGGACAUCUGACUUACACUAAAGAUUCGUCGGUAAGGGAUGGGGAUGCGUCCGAUUAGGUUGUCGGCGGGGUAACGGCCCACCGAGCCUUCGAUCGGUAGGGGUUCUGAGAGGAAGGUCCCCCACACUGGAACUGAGACACGGUCCAGACUCCUACGGGAGGCAGCAGUGACGGAAUAUUGGUCAAUGGGCGAGAGCCUGAACCAGCCAAGUAGCGUGACGGGAACGACUGCCCUAUGGGUUGUAAACCUCUUUAGUCUGCGGAACUACACCAGUUGGCGACGUGUCGCCUUUUGUAGGUACCAGAACGAAUAAGGACCGGCUAAUUCCGUGCCAGCAGCCGCGGUAAUACGGCAAGGUCCGUGUGCGUUAUCCGGAUUUCAUUGGGUUUAACAGGGAGCGCAGGCGGCCUGUUAAGCGGGCAGUUAAAGGCGGUGGCUCAACCAUCGUUAGCUGUCCGAACUGAUAGGCUUGAGUACGUGCGAGGUAUGCGAAAUUCGUGGUGUAGCGGUGAAAUGCUUAGAUAUCACGAAGAAUCCCGAUUGCGAAGGCAGCAUACCAGUGCGCCACUGACGCUAAAGCUCGAAAGCGCGGGUAUCGAACAGGAUUAGAUACCCUGGUAGUCCGCGCGGUAAACGAUGGAUGCCCGCUGUGCGGCCUUUUAUGGUUGCGCGGCCAAGCGAAAGCGUUAAGCAUCCCACCUGGGGAGUACGCCGGCAACGGGUGAAAACUCAAAGGAAUUGACGGGGGCCCGCACAAGCGGAGGAACAUGUGGUUUAAUUCGAUGAUACGCGAGGAACCUUACCCGGGCUUGAAUUGCAGCUGCAUGGGGCAGAGAUGUCCCCUUCCCCCAAAAGCGGGGCUGCUGUGAAGGUGCUGCAUGGUUGUCGUCAGCUUGUGCCGUGAGGUGUCGGCUUAAGUGCCAUAACGAGCGCAACCCCCCUCCCCGGUUGCCAUCGGGUAAUGCCGGGCACUCCGAGGACACUGCCACCGCCAAGGUGUGAGGAAGGUGGGGAUGACGUCAAAUCAGCACGGCCCUUACGUCCGGGGCUACACACGUGUUACAAUGGCAGGCACAGAGAGCUGGCGCGUCGCAAGACGCGUCGAAUCCUUAAAUCCUGCCCUCAGUUCGGACUGGGGUCUGCAACCCGACCCCACGAAGCUGGAUUCGCUAGUAAUCGCGCAUCAGCCAUGGCGCGGUGAAUACGUUCCCGGGCCUUGUACACACCGCCCGUCAAGCCAUGAAAGCCGGGGCGCCUGAAGUCCGUGACC